RNAcentral lists this unclassified non-coding RNA (318 nucleotides) under Ramaria sp. Its description in RNAcentral is "partial contains 5.8S ribosomal RNA, internal transcribed spacer 2, and large subunit ribosomal RNA". The record is from RNAcentral. Lineage: Eukaryota; Fungi; Basidiomycota; Agaricomycetes; Gomphales; Gomphaceae.
CGCACCUUGCGCUCCUUGGUAUUCCGAGGAGCAUGCCUGUCUGAGUGUCGCGAACAUCCUCAACCUCUGGGUCGGAAAGACCCAGAGUUUGGAGUUGGAGGUCUUGCCGGACCCGAAAGGUCGGUUGUCCGGCUCCUCGCCAAAUGCAUUAGCCGCGGAAGCGCUCGAGGCUCGCCGGCGUGAUAAAAAUCCGUCUACGUCGCAAGCCCGUCCGCGUCCUCCCGGCCGCUAGCCCGUCCGCAAGGACAAAAACGCCUAGGGAGCGAUCCCCCGACGUCUCUAGACCUCAGAUCAGGUAGGACUACCCGCUGAACUUAA